This 72-nucleotide small nucleolar RNA is filed under the name Catagonus wagneri (Chacoan peccary). RNAcentral's name for it is "Small nucleolar RNA SNORD113/SNORD114 family (ENSCWAG00000005200.1)". It matches the Rfam family "Small nucleolar RNA SNORD113/SNORD114 family". From Rfam's summary of the family: The imprinted human domain at 14q32 contains two clusters of tandemly repeated small nucleolar RNAs named 14q(I) and 14q(II) snoRNAs. These two clusters are named SNORD113 and SNORD114 respectively in the HGNC approved gene symbol nomenclature. The snoRNAs found in both clusters are clearly related and are represented here by a single family. The record is from Rfam by way of RNAcentral. Lineage: Eukaryota; Metazoa; Chordata; Mammalia; Artiodactyla; Tayassuidae.
UGGAUCGAUGAUGACUACUGGUGGCGUAUGAGUCAUGGACAAUGAAUAUGUGUCUGGAACUCUGAGGUCCAA